This is a long non-coding RNA of Alosa sapidissima (American shad), 268 nucleotides long. RefSeq lists it as uncharacterized. Lineage: Eukaryota; Metazoa; Chordata; Actinopteri; Clupeiformes; Clupeidae. The record is from RefSeq and is a predicted model, not a curated record. The transcript is spliced from 3 exons.
UACCAGAGUUAUAUUUCUGUAGAAAACAGUGACGUCUGUGUGUGCGGUGUGGCAGAGGUGAGUUUGCAUACAGAACACCACAUCAGUGAGGUAGAGAGUAGCACCAGUCACAGUGGUGUCAUUCUCACAGAGACGAGCAGCGUAACCAGAAGGGGUGACAACAGAGACGCAACUCCAGAGCUGUCUGACAGGCCCUCAGUCAUGACUCUACUUCUCAUUACUACACUGCUGGUCUCAGGUCUGGGCAGUCUCUCCUCCUCUGUGCCAC